RNAcentral lists this ribosomal RNA (301 nucleotides) under uncultured bacterium. RNAcentral describes it as "partial 16S ribosomal RNA". It matches the Rfam family "Bacterial small subunit ribosomal RNA", at positions 509 to 809 of the family's 1533-position model. The record is from RNAcentral.
CAGCCGCCGCGGGAAUACAGAGGGUGCAAGCGUUAAUCGGAAUUACUGGGCGUAAAGCGCGCGUAGGUGGUUUGUUAAGUUGGAUGUGAAAUCCCCGGGCUCAACCUGGGAACUGCAUCCAAAACUGGCAAGCUAGAGUAUGGUAGAGGGUGGUGGAAUUUCCUGUGUAGCGGUGAAAUGCGUAGAUAUAGGAAGGAACACCAGUGGCGAAGGCGACCACCUGGACUGAUACUGACACUGAGGUGCGAAAGCGUGGGGAGCAAACAGGAUUAGAUACCACUGUAGUCCUGUCUCUUAUACA